CCUACGGGUGGCAGCAGUGAGGAAUAUUGGUCAAUGGGCGCAAGCCUGAACCAGCCAAGUCGCGUGAGGGAUGACGGUCCUAUGGAUUGUAAACCUCUUUUGUCGGGGAGAAAGGCCCGCCACGUGUGGCGGGAAGGAGAGUACCCGACGAAAAAGCAUCGGCUAACUCCGUGCCAGCAGCCGCGGUAAUACGGUGGAUGCGAGCGUUAUCCGGCUUUAUUGGGUUUAAAGGGUACGUAGGCGGAAGGUUAAGUCAGCGGUAAAAUGUCGGUGCUCAACACCGGCCUGCCGUUGAAACUGGUCUUCUUGAGUGAGCGAGAAGUAUGCGGAAUGCGUGGUGUAGCGGUGAAAUGCAUAGAUAUCACGCAGAACUCCGAUUGCGAAGGCAGCAUACCGGCGCUCAACUGACGCUGAGGCACGAAAGCGUGGGGAUCGAACAGGAUUAGAUACCCGGGUAGUC
This 460-nucleotide ribosomal RNA is filed under the name uncultured bacterium. RNAcentral's name for it is "partial 16S ribosomal RNA". It matches the Rfam family "Bacterial small subunit ribosomal RNA", at positions 338 to 795 of the family's 1533-position model. The record is from RNAcentral.